CGUCCAUGCUGAUUCGGUGAUACUAACCGCCCGAAGCAUCCUCGACCUUGUUCUUUGAGCAGGGCGUGUGGUGUGGAGCGCGGGACCUGAACCGAGGAGGCAAGCGCAUUAACA
RNAcentral lists this ribosomal RNA (114 nucleotides) under Micrococcus lylae. RNAcentral describes it as "23S ribosomal RNA". Lineage: Bacteria; Bacillati; Actinomycetota; Actinomycetes; Micrococcales; Micrococcaceae. The record is from RNAcentral.